GAUGAACGCUGGCGGCGCGCCUAACACAUGCAAGUCGAACGGCACCCACCUCCGGGUGGAAGCGAGUGGCGAACGGCUGAGUAACACGUGGAGAACCUCGCCCCCUCCCCGGGAUAGCCCGCCCGAAAGGACGGGUAAUACCGGAUACCCCGGGGCGCCGCAUGGGCCGCCCCCGGACUAAACGCCCCGGACGGGAGGGGAUGGCUCCGCGGCCCAUCAGGUAGACGGCGGGGUGACGGCCCACCGUGCCGACAACGGGUAGCCGGGUUGAGAGACCGACCGGCCAGAUUGGGACUGAGACACGGCCCAG
Molecule: ribosomal RNA, 310 nt
Filed under: uncultured bacterium
Lineage: Bacteria
Description: bacterial SSU rRNA
Rfam family: Bacterial small subunit ribosomal RNA
Source: RNAcentral